AUUCGCGGCCUAUCAGCUUGUUGGUGGGGUAAUGGCCUACCAAGGCGGCGACGGGUAACCGGCCUGAGAGGGCGACCGGUCACACUGGGACUGAGACACGGCCCAGACUCCUACGGGAGGCAGCAGUGGGGAAUAUUGCACAAUGGGCGCAAGCCUGAUGCAGCGACGCCGCGUGAGGGAUGACGGCCUUCGGGUUGUAAACCUCUUUCAGCAGGGACGAAGCGAGAGUGACGGUACCUGCAGAAGAAGCGCCGGCCAACUACGUGCCAGCAGCCGCGGUAAUACGUAGGGCGCAAGCGUUGUCCGGAAUUAUUGGGCGUAAAGAGCUCGUAGGCGGUUUAUCACGUCGGCUGUGAAAUCCCGAGGCUUAACCUCGGGCUUGCAGUCGAUACGGGUUGACUAGAGUGAAGCAGGGGAGACUGGAAUUCCUGGUGUAGCGGUGAAAUGCGCAGAUAUCAGGAGGAACACCGGUGGCGAAGGCGGGUCUCUGGGCUUUAACUGACGCUGAGGAGCGAAAGCGUGGGUAGCGAACAGGAUUAGAUACCCUGGUAGUCCACGCCGUAAACGGUGGGCGCUAGGUGUGGGGACCAUUCCACGGUUUCCGUGCCGCAGCUAACGCAUUAAGCGCCCCGCCUGGGGAGUACGGAAU
Molecule: ribosomal RNA, 649 nt
Filed under: uncultured Actinomycetes bacterium
Lineage: Bacteria; Bacillati; Actinomycetota; Actinomycetes
Description: bacterial SSU rRNA
Rfam family: Bacterial small subunit ribosomal RNA
Source: RNAcentral